RNAcentral lists this ribosomal RNA (406 nucleotides) under uncultured bacterium. RNAcentral's name for it is "partial 16S ribosomal RNA". It matches the Rfam family "Bacterial small subunit ribosomal RNA", at positions 30 to 526 of the family's 1533-position model. The record is from RNAcentral.
AUUGAACGCUGGCGGCAGGCCUAACACAUGCAAGUCGAACGAGUGGCGGACGGGUGAGUAAUGUCUGGGAAACUGCCUUAUGGAGGGAGAUAACUACGGGAAACUGUAGCUAAUACCGCGUACCAUAGGAUGAGCCCAAGUGGGAUUAGGUAGUUGGUGGGGUAAAGGCUCACCAAGGCGACGAUCCCUAGCUGGUCUGAGAGGAUGACCAGCCACACUGGGACUGAGACACGGCCCAGACUCCUACGGGAGGCAGCAGUGGGGAAUAUUGCGCAAUGGGAGCAAGCCUGACGCAGCCAUGCCGCGUGAAUGAAGAAGGCCUUCGGGUUGUAAAGUUCUUUCAGUAGCGAGGCGUUAACUACAGAAGAAGCACCGGCUAACUCCGUGCCAGCAGCCGCGGUAAUAC